This 212-nucleotide ribosomal RNA is filed under the name uncultured Anaerolineaceae bacterium. RNAcentral describes it as "partial 16S ribosomal RNA". It matches the Rfam family "Bacterial small subunit ribosomal RNA", at positions 1172 to 1382 of the family's 1533-position model. The record is from RNAcentral. Lineage: Bacteria; Bacillati; Chloroflexota; Anaerolineae; Anaerolineales; Anaerolineaceae.
GGUGAGGAUGAUGUCAAGUCAGCAUGUACCUUUAUAUCCAGGGCUACACACACGCUACAAUGGUCUGUACAAUGGGUAGCCAAGCCGCGAGGCGGAGCCAAUCCUGAAAGCAGGCCUCAGUUCAGAUUGCAGUCUGCAACUCGACUGCAUGAAGCCGGAGUUGCUAGUAACCGCAGGUCAGCAAUACUGCGGUGAAUACGUUCCCGGGUCUU